GGGGAAGUUAGGGAAGUGACGCUAUUGACAGGAAGUGUUGGUUCGAGUUUUGCCAGGAAAAGGAAAUAGACUUCUUGGUAAACACUGAGGCACAUUGAUGGCGGAAGCUGCCGAGGAAUGCACUAACCACGACCCAUCAGGAGCAAGGGUAAAAUGUCUUGCCCAAGGACACAACGCAAGUGACUAGAAUGGUGGAAACUGGGAUCAAACCACUGUACGCUUCAAAUACCGGACAGCAUCUUCUUUCUACCACGGCCAGAGAAAUUACCUCCUCUCUUGACUUCUUUGACCACUCCCUGGACUUCACCAUGUUGCAAAUACACCAUUGACCAUCUACAAGAAGCUGAGCGUCACAGUCUUUUUCAAUCAGUUUAAUUGUUGCUCGUUAUGGUUCUAAUCAAAUCUAGAGGUGUUUUCAACACCCGAUUGAAAAGACCUUAUUCAAAUUCUGUUCUUAAGAGUUAUGAUCUUCAAGAGGUUGAAUAAUUUUGUCAAUGAGAUAUUAAGAGAAAUGACACUGUUUUGUAUGUUACAAAAUAUAAUGUUGUAAUUCAAGUUGCAUUUGUCUAUUUAAUGGAUCUUUAUUUGAUAUGACUAUAAACAAAAUACGGAAUAAAUGUCCGACUUGCUAAAACACCAAAA
Nerophis ophidion (straightnose pipefish) is the source of this 642-nucleotide long non-coding RNA. RefSeq lists it as uncharacterized. The transcript has 3 exons. Lineage: Eukaryota; Metazoa; Chordata; Actinopteri; Syngnathiformes; Syngnathidae. The record is from RefSeq and is a predicted model, not a curated record.